AAGUCCAAUACUUCAUCUAAAUUUUCAUAAUAAUAAUAACUUAAGUACAAUCCUUAUGUUCGCAAUUCAAAUCGUUCUUACAAAAGUAUAAUCCCCAAAGUAUCAUGAGGUUUACAUUCACUUCAACCACAAGUACAUCAUACCAUAAAGUUCACAAAUCUUUCAAAAUAACCAUUACAUUCCAUAGAGAAAAUCAAUCACAACCCAGAUAAAGGAUAAUCCACGGUACUCGAAAGCCUUGUGCUUGAGUAACUAUCCUUCCCGAGCCCUGCAUAGAACUAAAAUAUUUUUGGGGUGAGCUAAAACUCAAUGAGGUUUCAAAAGGGAAAAUCAAGUUUUUAUAAAUCAGUGCAUAAUUGCUAUUUUAAAAUCACGUGGACAAAUAGGACUUUUGCUAGUAACUUUACUAUGAGUACAACUCAUAAAUCAUUUAAAAUCACUAAUGUAUAUUUGGAAUGAAUGACCAUGUAAAUGUAUUUUCAUGAAUUUUUAUAGUCAAACAAAUAGCGGCUCGUCCGACUAGAAGAACAUUACAAGGAUUGAUUCGUCUCAGAGCUUAAUGCUCAUGAGGAGUCUUACCCGAGAAAUGUCAACUAGGAGAGCAAUAACAGUAGCAAUAGUAAACCAAACACAAAAGGAUACAGUACUCGGUCCACUUCCCGUCCUUAUAACUCCCACCGGUAGCUCCUUUGGUUGACUGGCAAUCACCUUAUCCCUCCAGCGGUAAUACUCGAGUAUACCAAAAUACAAUGCCCAGGGUUAUCAAUCUAUCCGACCGAGUCCGCUUCUGGCUCGAAUAGGUGAUAACGAAGGGGGGAAGGCCUUGUUCAGCCGAUGUGAUAAAGUACACAUGGCCUACAGCAUACACAAGUAACACAUAAACAAUGAAAUAUUGAACAGUUAAGUGAUACAACAACAGUUAGGUCGAGUGCGAUAAAGUACACACUCGCCUAGGAAUAAUUAUUUAUCAUUCACGUGAACAAGAUUCAUCAAGUAUUUCACCACUUAGACAUGUAAGAAGAACUUAUCAAGUCACAUCACGUAUAUAUAUAUAUAUAUAUAUAUAUAUAUAUAUAUAUAUAUAUAUAUAUAUAUAUAUGCAAUUAUACAAACAGUGGUUAUAAAAGUUCGAGAAGCAAUUUUUUUUUUUUGUGCAAAACAGUUUGGAAUCCCUCAUCGUAAUCCGGAGCAAAGCAAGAGCAACAGCAAGAAAAAACAAAACCUCUUAGAUACACACACUCAAGAGCCUCAAGCUCAAACAAAUCGAAAUAGGAAGUUUUCACUUAAUCAUUGGAAUAAUAACUAAAAGGAAUUUAAAGUCCCAUUUCCGAGUUAAAUCAUGGCAAGGACUAUCAAUUCCAAAAGAAGAGUAAAAUGCUUAAAUUUGGCACGAUAAUCGAGAAAGGAGAAAAAUGUGUUCAUACUAGAAAAUCUUCAAUAAAAGCCCAAGUGCAAGAAUAUAAGUGAAAAAUCAUGUUUUCUAAACUUAUGAAGCCAAAGUCUCCUUACAAUCACCCUUUUUUUAUAAUAAAUAUGGAAGUUAAAGUUCUAACUUUCAAAUAGGAAAUUUAGUGAAAUUUUUCAAGAAUUUCUCUAGUUAAAAUGCUCAAGGCCAAAUUUUCAAGUGUUUCGAUUUAUCGAAACCAACAUUCAAAAUAAAGUUCCAAAUUAUAAGUGAGAACCUUUUCACCAUAAAAAUAAGUUUGGAAUAUCCCAAGAGUCUCAAAAGCGUGACCUAAGCUCUUAAAAGAGCAAGUAAAAAUUUCAGUUUUACGCGUGGAAAUUUGAAAAAUCGGUCCGGAAGUCCAGAAAGUCCAAAAAUGAAAAACUUGAUACCGUUGGAAACCUCUUUGAAAUUACUAAUAGUUCUUAGAAGACACUUUUCCAUGAUUCCAAACCGAAGGUAUUCAAAAAUUGGCUCAAAUUUACUGUUUUGGGCACUCAAGACAGGUUUAGGUUGGUUUUUGGCCAACUUUGAAAAUUCGGCAAAAUUCACUUGAUUUGAACUAACCUCUGAAAUUUGGAACUCUAUCAGAUUUACAAUCCAGGUUUAACACAAAACAAACGGAACAAGAAUCUGAGUUUUGAGCACCAAAAUAUGAUAGCUCAAAGUUGCCAAAAUUUUCUUGUUAAACAAGGGUUUUCAAAACUUAAAUCAUGAAAUUUGGAAGUUCAGUUGAGCAUUGAAACGGCUUCGGAAUAGCACCAAAUUUGGUAUGAUUAUAGUACCAUAUAAGGGCUAUUCAUCUACCAAAUUUCAAGGAGAAAUAAGUACAGGAAGUCACUUAACUAAAUCACUCAAUUUCCCAAGAUUUCAAGGCAAAGCUGCCUUGUGCAUGGAAAUUUCCUUUUCUAAACUUUUGACCAAGGAAAAUGCCUAAAACAUGUCCCAUUUAUGAUGAUCAAAUCUGGUAAGGGUUCAAGGCAUAUUUGAUUGGUGAUUUACACCAAAAUUUUCGAGUACAAGUCCCCAAACCAAGAUUUGUUAAGGAUUAGUCCAAAAUGAAGAAUUCCAUCACUAAGUCAGUCCAAAACUUUGGCCGCAACUCACUCAAUUCAACUCGGAAUUGAGCGUGGUUAGUGGCGUUGGAAAAUAAUUCCAUAAAGCUAGAAUUUCUCAGAAGAAAUUAUUUUCAAAAUCCAUCCACAACUAGCUCACAUUGGAGCAUCAAAUCGUAGUUCAUGUUCUGCCCUCUGGUAAACCAACGAAACAGGACAGCAAAUUUCAAACGAAUGGUUUGGCUCCCCCACGUGGAACCAGAAUGUGAAUUUUAUACCAAUGGAAAACUGGGAAUGUCUAGUUUCCAGUGCCACAAACGGCACUCGAUUUCGACAUCGGAGUAAAGAGAUAUAGCCGAUACAAAAUGACUGCCUGGGCAAUCCGGGAAAAUUUUCCAGUUUUACUAAACUUUGGAAAUCAACACAUUUGACCAACCAAAUCAUGUUAUUUUUCAAUGAAACUUUUUACGCAAUCCCAACAACAUAUAUACAUCAUAAAUAAGCCAUUAAAACCAUUAAAAAUCACCCUAAAGGUCACGAACAACAUAAGGGCAGAAUCGGAAAUUUUUCAUCUUCACUUCCCUUUGAGUUUCUACCAACUAUACGACAUUAAUCCACUAGUUUAAGCAAUAAACCCACAUUAAUACCAUUAAAACAUCACAAAUCAGUUCAUCCAUCCAAUGUGGGAGUUCAUAGAGCCCACUCAACAAUUUUUCCAUCAUAAACAAGCUACCCACAUGCAUGUAAGAGCUUAAAUGUGCACUAGAACUUCCAUAAAUCAAGAUUUAGGUAGUUGAUCGUUAAUUACCUUUGAUGAUGACCUAACCAGAAAUUUUCGGCCUCUAAAAGCUGAGAAAAAUUGUGAGAAUCAAGCCUCUUUCCUAGCUUAGGUUGUUCACCAUGUGAUUAGCAAGUUGCGUGUAAAAUUUGAGGUGAUUUGGUGGAGGAUUAGUGAAGAUUUGAUGAAGGAAAAUGAAGAGCUCUUGGUUGUUUUUGCCUUGGAGUUGCACGCUGGAAAUGGAGCUAUGAGACGUCAAUUGAGGUAAAGGUGUGGAGGGUUUUAAUCUAGCGUGAUGCUCUCAUGAGAGCUUAAGAAUGUGUGGCCCAAAAUGCUCCAAAAGUCAACUAAUGUACGCGCGCUUCGUGCUCGAUUCCUCUUGGGUUUAUUUCACUAGUACACUAAACCUCUAAUACACUUUCACUCAUACUAUUAUUAUUCACUCUUAAUGGUCUAAAAAUAAUGAUUUAAAAUCUCUCAAUUAAUCUCGCGCGUAAAAACGCGUAUUACCGAUUGUGUGCGAUAAAGUGGAAUCUCUAAGAAAUUCUUAUAACGAUAGUAUCACUAACUAAUACUUGAGCACUUAAACAUUAAAAUACCUAUUUUAAGACUAAUGUACAAGUCUCCAAUUUUUUUAAGGUUAUUGUACUCUCAGUUCGGCUACAGUUUCCAAACGCGUACUCACUAUUCUCACUUAACGAGCUCUCGAGAAAUAAAUUUUGAAAUCAAGUCAUUUUAAAAAUACACUUGAGCCAUAAUUCCAUGUAAUUGAAGUAAUAAAAGUCAAAAUAAAAUAUUCGGGAUAAAUGGCAAAAAUAAAUAAUUAAAUGAGCUAGAAAUAGGCGUUUAAAAUAAGAAAAUUUGCGAGUCCUUACAAAAUAACUGAGAUAAAGUCUAGAAAUAUCACUAAUAUGGAACUUUAUCAUCCCAACUUCCAAAUCACAAGAAUUUCCGUAAAAUUAAUCAAGAUCAACUCAUCCAAUAACUUAACCACAACAUUAAAGAAUAAAAUAAGCUUCUAAUGAUUAUACCUUCCAACACCUUGAAAACAAGCAAAGAAAACCCUUUUCUUCUCAAAACUCUCCACCCUUAGCUUGCUAUCCCCUUAGAUGUGAAGUUAAUCAGAGUAGAUCUUGGCACUUGGAAGAAAACUCUCAAGAUUUGGUGAAGGAAAUCAAAGAGAAAAAUGGAGUUUUCUCUCUUUGUUUUGCUCCCAAGAAGUUCGGUCAGCUUAGAGAAGAAAGAAAAGUGGCUUUUGAACUCCAAAUGAAGUCAAAAGAUGAAGACUUAAUCACUAAGGAAACUGUACGACGACAGAAUUCUAGCCGGAUUCAAGGCAGAAGCUUUGCAAAUUUUAUUUUCAAAUCACCAUGCCAAUCCGGCCAGUAUGCGGCCGAAUUCUCUCAAAACACUGCUCACCAGAAAUUUUUCUUUCUUCUUCUUUUGGGGCGUCACAGUCAAUAUGUCUCGUCGAAUUUUAGUUGGUGCAAAUCGCAUUAAUUGUGAUGCCCAAGAGUGACUCUUUGAAGAGGUCACGAAUAUGCAAAAUAUGAGACUCGAAAAAAAGAAAAGAAAAUAAUAAUAUACAAAAUAUACAUGAGCUAAAGGAUAUACAUGAGCUAAAGGAAUGCAUCAUAACGGAUGUGGGGAACCAAGAUUCGUGACUAUAUUUUCUUUUUUAUAGAGGAGAUACGAACGUGUUAAAGCUAAAAGGCCAUACUCGUCCAUAUCCCAUAUUUAAAGGGUUAAUUCUCCUAAUUUUGGUCAAGCAAAUGAUCUAACAUAUUUCUAAUUUUCCUAAAUGAGAUGCAAAUCUAAAUGUUAUGUUUUGCAUAUAGGGAUAGGGGUAAGGGAUAUUUAUUCGGGGGAAUAUUAUGCAAAAAUGGUAAGGAUCCUAAAAUAAAUAGAAAAUAUGCAUGAAAUGUAGUGAUUUGUCACACAAACAUGAUCUAAUGCGUGGAUGGUCCCUAAGCGUCUAGCGUUGGACUAACUCAUGUCUAUAAGUUCUCACUAGCGUUGGACUAGUGAGAAAUUAGAAAUGAGGGCCACAACUAGCGUUGGACUAGUGUGGAAUCGGAAAAAAGGGCCACAACUAGCGUUGGACUUGUGUGGUGACGUCAUGCAUUUAUUAUAAUCGAAUAAAUCACAUAAAACAUGAUAAAGCAAGUAAACAUAUAAUCACAUGUAGCACAUGGCACAUAAACAUGAUAUCUAGAUGCAAAGAUCCUAAGAAAGCGAGUAAACACAUAAGCACACAAGCAUGCAAACACAUAAACAAAUAAAAGCGAAUAAAGACCAAACUAUUACAUUCGGGGGCCCUAACUACAAUCUAAAGGGGUAAAGAAUGAAACAAAAUAAAAUAACUAUUACAAUUUGGCAUUUAAUCGCCUUUCAAAUAAUCAAAAAUUAAAUUAAAAUAAAUAUACAAAAUUAAAACCAAUAAAGGGAAUAAAUAUAUAAAUGAAAUAAAAUAAAAAACAUUCAAACAAGCAUGAAAUUACACACAUAAAAUCACAUAGGAGACCAUAGGAUCAAGUAAAAUCAAAAUAAAGGAGUAGAGUGUACCUCCCUUGAAUUGGUAACCUAAUGAAAUGAAAUUUCUCUUAUUUACCCUCCAGCACGAAAAAAAUGGUUAAGGCACCACUUUAAUUAUCAAACAAUCAUAAGAGAUGGAAAUAAACAUGAAAUUGAACAAUUAAAUCAUUUAAACGAAAGUAAACAACCCAUCUUCAAGAAAUUAAAAUAAGCAAGGACCUAAUUUACCCAAUUAAAGAAGUUUGAGGGGUCAAAUUAUUAUUAUUACAAAUAUUAAGGGUCUAAAUUAAAAUAAAAUAAAAUAAAGGGCUUAAGAUGAAACCUACCAAAACCAAAUGCUAAAAUUCACAAAAAUAAAUCAAAACCCUCUCAUCAAACCCCAAAGCAAAAAUAUUACCCAAAUUUUAAUUAUUUUACUAAAAAUCCAAAUAAAAACUAUAAAUCUAUCAAAAUUAUUAAACCUCAAAUUUCAUCCUAAAAUUCAUAAAUAAUCUGUCCGAAAAUCACAUUAGAACAUACCAAAGAAAAUUAACAUUUUGAAGGGACAAAAUUGAUUACUUUUCCCAAAUUUCUGUGCCAUAGUAGUAUUAUUUAGAAAAUUAGGGGUUAAAGUGCAAUUUUUUAAAAAUUGCAUGCAAAGCUUCGGGAAAGAGCUUUCUUCUGCGACAUUCUAUAACCGAAAGCUUUUUGCAAUUUUCUUCUGGAUCAUGAUGCAAACUUCCCUUCACAUAAAAUCUCAACCAAACAUCAAACUUUAUUCUGGCAAUCAAACACAGUAAUUCAACAUCCAAACAUGCAAAAAAAUCAGAAUAGGAACUUGCAAUUCUUCUUGUGCAAGACUCAUCACAUGGAAGACAAAGGGAAAAAAAUGCAUGGCUGAUGGAAAACAACUCUAGUUGAGUUUACUCACGGGUUUAACUCUCUCCUUUUUUUUUGUGACGAAGAUAGGUGACAAAAUCACGAUAUAAAGCCAUAGUUCAAGUCCUCCCCCCCAACAGAUCCACAAAUGGCAGCAAAUAUAGAAGGAAGAAAGCCGACAAGAAGCAUUGCAACAAGAGUUUCAACUUUUCUGAUGCAGAUUCAACACUAUAUGAGUGGAAAAAGGGGAGAAAGAAACUACCUUUUUGCACCUUAAAAGGUAGAAAGAAGCAUGAAACCAGGAGCAAACCCAAAACGCGUGAAAUUGCAGAGGUGAAAAACCAAGUUUUGCUGCGAAAGCUGUUCAAGAACUGAUGAGUCUGCACUUUUGAGCCUAGAUUUGACGAGCUUAUGGACUUUUAAUCUGAAAAUUUCCAACGAAAAAAUUCUUCACCUACAUCUAUAGAGUAUCCAGAACUCCAGAAUAGAUCUAAAAGAGGUCAAUAAGAAGGAAAAAAAAUGGCGUCUGAACCCAGUCACUCCUCCAACCCUGGCUCACUUUUCCAAAAAUUUCUCUACACUUUUCUCUCAAUCUUCCUCGAUCUUUCCUCUCUAUUUCUUUUUGUUUUUUCCUUCCUUUUUCCUCUGAUUCUCCCCAGAUCCUUCCCUAGAUUCCUCCUUGCUCUCUUUCUUUCCUCCCCCCUUUUCUUUUUUUUCUUCUUCCUCUCUUUUUCUCCCCCGAAACCCUUUUUCUUCUUUUUUCGUUUUUCCUUUUCCCAACUUCCCUCUUGUUUCCUUGCUCUCCAGAGUCUCUCCCUUUCUCUCUUACUCUCCCAGAUUUCUCUUUCUCUUUUCAGCCACCCCCUCUCUCAAUCUCUUGCUCUCUCUCCUUUUCCAGAUUUUUCUCCCAUUUUUUCCUUCCAAAUUUCUCCCAAUCCAACAAGUGUCCUUGCCACCUAGCUCUUAAGUGUUGUGGUAUAAAAAAAAAAAUAAAGACACUUG
Molecule: long non-coding RNA, 7672 nt
Filed under: Coffea arabica (coffee)
Lineage: Eukaryota; Viridiplantae; Streptophyta; Magnoliopsida; Gentianales; Rubiaceae
Description: long non-coding RNA (CARA_LNC004685)
Source: RNAcentral